This is a long non-coding RNA of Felis catus (domestic cat), 2141 nucleotides long. RefSeq lists it as uncharacterized. The transcript has 3 exons. Lineage: Eukaryota; Metazoa; Chordata; Mammalia; Carnivora; Felidae. The record is from RefSeq and is a predicted model, not a curated record.
GAUUUUCCAGGUAGGCCCAAUGUAAUCAUUAGGGUCUUUCUAAGAGAAGGAGGGAGAACAAGAGGAGAGUCAGAGAAAGAGUUGUAAAGAUGGAAGCAGAGUUAGUGCUCUGUUACUGGCUUUAAAGAUGAAGGCAAAUGAAGCAUGAGCCAAAGAACACAAGAAGUCUAGAAGUAGGAAAAAGCAGUGUAACAGAUCCUCUUCUUGAGUCUACAGAAAGAAGUGCACCCCUAUGGACAUUCGGAUUUCAGCUCCAUGAAGCCGUGUUACACUUCUGAACUACAGAACUGUAAGGCUCAAUGAGUAAUUGAAACAGAAAUCGAACCACACCCUGCCCUCAAAGAUCUUCCAAAGCAUGUGUCAUAUUAAAACUGCUUGGAAGAUCUUUUUUAUCAGAGGAAAAAGAGUCAAUUGAUGUAAAAAUAUAACAAACUCUGUUGGUCAAAAAAAUGAUGGCCAUUACACUUGAGCUCUGUCUCUCUGGCGUCGUACUCACCCAUUUUCUGUUUAAACAUCAUGUUUGAUUCUUCUAUCCAACAAAUGUAAUUAUAUCACAUAAAUCAAAAUCACAUUUAGUUGUUUCUCAAAAGAGAGAAGAGCCAAAGUUAAUAAACUGCUGGUGGUUGAAACUCCAAGAUCUCUAAACAAUGUUCAUUUCUUCUUAUUUUGAGUUGCUAUAAAUUAGUUUUGUACAUGCCUAAUUUGAGAUUAGAAUUGGGAUUACAAAUUUAGGAAUUACCAGAAUAUGCAAGAAUAAUUAAUCAAAGUAGAUAAUGCCACUUAGAUUGAAGUAUAGAGAGAAGUUUGAGGACUUAUUCUAGGAACACACCAAAUUUCAGCGGCCUAGGGGGAGACAAAGAGAAUUUCCAAUAGGGUAGUAGAAAAUCAAGAAACUGUAGUAUCAGGAAAAAUAAGUAAAUAUAUGUUUCAAGGUUGCAGUGAUCAACAAUUAUCAAAACUACUGAAAAGUGACCAUUCCUUUUAGCAACUUAGAGUCCAUUAUUGAUCUUGACAAGUACAUUCAGUAAAAUACUUGGUUAAAAAGUCAGUGUGUGAGGGGCACCUGUGUGGCUCAGUUGGUUGGGCGUCCAGUAUCGGCUCAGGUCAUGAUCUCAGGACUGGUGAGUUAGAGCACCAUGUCCGGCUCUGUCCUGACAGCUCAGAGCUUAGAGACUGCUUCAGAUUCUGUGUCUCCAUCUCUGCCCCUCCACUGCUAGUGCUCUGUCUCUCUCAAAAAUAAAAUAAACAUUAAAAGUUAAAAAAAAAAAAGUGUGUGAGAUAGGAUGGAAUGUGGUCAAGUGAGACUGAGCAUUUACAAUUCAAGUAAAGAUAACAGAGAUAAUAUUUGAAUAAAAAUGAGAUUAAAGUAAACACUUGAACACAGUAAAAUAACCCUCCCUUACCCUCCAUCGUUUAUAUAAGUUAUGUAGGAGCCAAGUUGGAGAGCAGUGAAAUGUGAUAAUUUGCACCACUGGUAUCUUUGCAGAAUUACUGGCUCCAUCACAUUGAUUUGCCUUUUUGGUAGUAAUGGAGAACUGGGAGUUUCCACUUAGCGAUUGAUUCCUACUUUAAAAUCUUAGCAUCGUUAGGUACGAAGGUAACCAUUGUAGGGAUUUUGCUACUUCCUAAGUCUAUCUACUCUGACUACGCACAUUGCAGAGGAGGUGUAUCCUGUGACUGGCUUCUACAGACUACCAAGCCUACUAUGAGAUGGACUUGGGUCAAAACUCUAACACUUUUAGAAAGUUACUUCUAUCUAGUAAAUCACAGAGGAAUUUCAAGUAUCCAGAAACUAACAUUGAUUUAAGAGUAUUUUUUCAUAAUCUCUGAAAAAUUAGGGUGUUUCCUUAAUGUUAAAACAUAAACACCUAGCUAAAUAGCCUCAGGAUAUUUGGCUGAAGCUUUGCAGUGACAUACAGCAUAUUGUUUUUACAUUACUAUUAUAGGGCCCUUCCUCAAGUGUUUCAGCUUUACCUGGGCUCUCUCUGGGACUGAGGAUUAACUCAGCAAAUAAUUCAAAUGGUGGGACAGGGUUAUCUAUUGUAUUGGCUCAAGUCAAACCUGUGUUUACAUUAUCUUGAGUGGUUUAUGGUUGUUAAUUUUGUUGUUUGUUGUUCACAAACUGGCUUCCAUCUAUUUUU